GUGGGGAAUUUUGGACAAUGGGCGAAAGCCUGAUCCAGCCAUGCCGCGUGCAGGAUGAAGGCCUUCGGGUUGUAAACUGCUUUUGUACGGAACGAAAAGACUCCUUCUAAUAAAGGGGGUCCAUGACGGUACCGUAAGAAUAGGCACCGGCUAACUACGUGCCAGCAGCCGCGGUAAUACGUAGGGUGCAAGCGUUAAUCGGAAUUACUGGGCGUAAAGCGUGCGCAGGCGGUUAUAUAAGACAGAUGUGAAAUCCCCGGGCUCAACCUGGGAACUGCAUUUGUGACUGUAUAGCUAGAGUACGGUAGAGGGGGAUGGAAUUCCGCGUGUAGCAGUGAAAUGCGUAGAUAUGCGGAGGAACACCGAUGGCGAAGGCAAUCCCCUGGACCUGUACUGACGCUCAUGCACGAAAGCGUGGGGAGCAAACAGGAUUAGAAACCCGGGUAGUCC
Molecule: ribosomal RNA, 450 nt
Filed under: uncultured bacterium
Lineage: Bacteria
Description: partial 16S ribosomal RNA
Rfam family: Bacterial small subunit ribosomal RNA
Source: RNAcentral